Molecule: ribosomal RNA, 1177 nt
Filed under: metagenome
Description: SSU rRNA
Rfam family: Eukaryotic small subunit ribosomal RNA
Source: RNAcentral
AGUCUGGUGCCAGCAGCCGCGGUAAUUCCAGCUCCAAUAGCGUAUAUUAAAGUUGUUGCGGUUAAAAAGCUCGUAGUUGGAUCUCGGUUUCACUCAGGCGGUACACCUUGCGGUGUUCACUGUCUGGGCGGACGUUUCUGUUGGUUCGCUGUUGGUUCUCUUAAUCGAGUGCCAAUUGGUGGCCAGCACGUUUACUUUGAAAAAAUUGGAGUGCUCAAAGCAGGCGUUACAGCCUGAACAUUAGUGCAUGGAAUAAUGGAAUAGGAUCUCGAUUCUAUUUCGUUGGCUUUCGGAGUCGAGGUAAUGAUUAAUAGGGACAGACGGGGGCAUUCGUACUGCGACGUUAGAGGUGAAAUUCUUGGAUCGUCGCAAGACGAACUACUGCGAAAGCAUUUGCCAAGAAUGUUUUCAUUAAUCAAGAACGAAAGUUAGAGGUUUGAAGGCGAUCAGAUACCGCCCUAGUUCUAACCAUAAACGAUGCCAACCGGCGAUCCGUCGUCGUUAAUUGAAUGACUCGACGGGCAGCCUCCGGGAAACCAGGGUGUUUGGGUUCCGGGGGAAGUAUGGUUGCAAAGCUGAAACUUAAAGGAAUUGACGGAAGGGCACCACCAGGAGUGGAGCCUGCGGCUUAAUUUGACCCAACACGGGAAAUCUCACCAGGCCCGGACACCGGAAGGAUUGACAGAUUGAGAGCUCUUUCUUGAUUCGGUGGGUGGUGGUGCAUGGCCGUUCUUAGUUGGUGGAGCGAUUUGUCUGGUUAAUUCCGAUAACGAACGAGACUCUGGCCUACUAACUAGAAGGGUCGUUCUUUACGAGCGGCCCUCUGCUUCUUAGAGGGACGGGCGGCGUUUAGCCGCACGAGAAUGAGCAAUAACAGGUCUGUGAUGCCCUUAGAUGUUCUGGGCUGCACGCGCGCUACACUGAAGGAAUCAGCAUGUUCUCCCCUCCCUGAAAAGGGCGGGUAACCCGUUGAAACUCCUUCGUGAUGGGGAUUGGAGAUUGUAAUUAUUCUCCAUGAACGAGGAAUUCCCAGUAGGCGCGAGUCAUCAGCUUGCGUCGAUUACGUCCCUGCCCUUUGUACACACCGCCCGUCGCUACUACCGAUCGAGUGAUUUAGUGAGGACUUCGGACUGGUCUCCAAGUUGGCUUCGGUCAGCUCGGAGUUCCGGAAAGAUGC